UACGUAGGGGGCAAGCGUUGUCCGGAAUCAUUGGGCGUAAAGCGCGUGUAGGCGGCCCGGUAAGUCCGCUGUGAAAGUCGGGGGCUCAACCCUCGAAUGCCGGUGGAUACUGUCGGGCUAGAGUGCGGAAGAGGAGAGUGGAAUUCCUGGUGUAGCGGUGAAAUGCGUAGAUAUCAGGAGGAACACCGGUGGUGUAGACGGCUUUCUGGACCGUAACUGACGCUGAGACACGAAAGCGUGGGUAGCAAACAGG
This 253-nucleotide ribosomal RNA is filed under the name uncultured bacterium. Its description in RNAcentral is "partial 16S ribosomal RNA". It matches the Rfam family "Bacterial small subunit ribosomal RNA", at positions 524 to 776 of the family's 1533-position model. The record is from RNAcentral.